GUUGAACGCUGGCGGCGUGCCUAACACAUGCAAGUCGAGCGGACGGAUAGGGAUCUUGCCCGUUUGCAGCUACCGGCGGACGGGUGAGUCAUAGGUGGGUAACCUAUCUAUAGGGCUGACAUAACGCCGGGAGAGCGAGGACAACGUCGGACCACAUGUUGAACCGGAGGGAUCUACGGAGAACAGCGGCUCUGCUGUCACUAAGAGAGGGACCCGCGCCGGUUUGGCUAGUUGGUGAGGUAACGGCUCACCAAGGCAACGAUACGUAGCUGACCUGAGAGGGUGAUCGGCCACACUGGAACUGAGACACGGUCCAGACUCCUACGGGAGGCAGCAGUAGGGAAUCUUCCGCAAUGGGCGAAAGCCUGACGGAGCCACGCCGCGUGAGUGAUGAAGGUCUUCGGAUCGUAAAACUCUGUUAGUAGGGAAGAACAAAUGCGUAAGUAACUGUGCGCGUCUUGACGGUACCUAAUCAGAAAGCCACGGCUAACUACGUG
RNAcentral lists this ribosomal RNA (497 nucleotides) under uncultured bacterium. Its description in RNAcentral is "partial 16S ribosomal RNA". It matches the Rfam family "Bacterial small subunit ribosomal RNA", at positions 28 to 507 of the family's 1533-position model. The record is from RNAcentral.